ACGGUUAUAAAUCAACAUAUUGAUUUAUAACCAUGGAAAUCCCCUGAGUGAAACAACGAAUUGCUGUGUGUAGUCUUUGCCUAUCUCCCACGAUGGGCUUUUUUUUAA
This 108-nucleotide non-coding RNA is filed under the name Escherichia coli. Its description in RNAcentral is "antisense sRNA RprA". It matches the Rfam family "RprA RNA". Rfam says of the family: Translational regulation of the stationary phase sigma factor RpoS is mediated by the formation of a double-stranded RNA stem-loop structure in the upstream region of the rpoS messenger RNA, occluding the translation initiation site. Lineage: Bacteria; Pseudomonadati; Pseudomonadota; Gammaproteobacteria; Enterobacterales; Enterobacteriaceae. The record is from RNAcentral.